UCCCCACCGUGUUCAGGGACAACCCUGUGAUCAUGGUUUUGGUCACAUAGCUUCCAAGUGAGUGUUGUGCAAACAUUUGCUAGGAUCUCUCGGGGAGCCUGUUAGAAAAGAAACUCCUGAGCCUGCUCCAGAGCUUCUGUUCAGCAGGCCUGAGGUGGGACCAUACACCUGUCUUUUCAGCAAGCCCCCCCCCACCUCUGAGGAUGCACCCCAAAGCUAGAGAAUUCCUGCUCUGAGCCAUCUCUGAAAGCACCAAGAGCCAGCUCACGGAGGAGAUGCCAGCUCACGGAGGAAAAUCUGGAAGGUGUUGAAGCAUAGACGCUGGAACAUAAAAUGACUCAUGAUCUCACUGGGAGAAGGGCUGGGAACAUCGUGGGCUCUCUUCUCCCCGCGCUCCUCUCUCCGGGUCUCUGUUUCCCUCAUUCCACGAUGUUUAGAACCAUCGGCGCACUACAUCAGACUAGAGGUCUGGGGUCACCCGACCAUCCCGCCACAAGCCCCUCCGAGGCAUCACUGUGUCCAGAUUUUGCAAACUGCACCUCCUGAAGGGGCUGGGGUCUGUCCACUUCGCCCCAUCUGCCGUGGCAGCACUUCCUCCGUGGUUCGCACCCCCACAGCAGCCUCCUGGGAAGGCACCUCCCUGGGGCCCCUCUCAGUCCACGGUGUGGAUAUGGUGAGUUCUUAAACCAUGAACUUCUGAUUUCACAGCUCUGCUUGAAGCCUUCAAUGUCAGGCUUCCUGUUGCUCUUAAGAUAAUGAUCAAAACUCUCAACAAAGUUCCCCUGAUAAAUGCUCUCAACGUGCCCCCCACCACAGCAUCCCUAACUGUAAUGAAUACAUCAUUGGUCCUCACGGCAGCGGAUUAAUCGUCUGUGAGUGUUGGUUUAAUCUUUCUCUUCUGGAGUUUAGCUGUCACUGCCAUAUCCCCAGCACGGAGCACAAUGACAUGUUUAUAUGUAGAAAAUUGAGCGAAAAAUAAAAACAGCUAACAUUUGGGUACUUAUUAUCUUCCAGGCAGCAAGCUAUGCAUUUUGCAUAUAUUAGCAAAUCCAUGAGGCAGGUGCUGUCUUCAUUGUACAGGUGAGGAGCCUGAAGCUCAGAGAGGUGAAGGAACAUCCUCAAGGCCACGCUCUGAAAUCAACAAAAGAUACAUCAGUUUAUUGUGGGAAACAUCAGAACAUGCAGAGAUAUUAACAAAGAGAAGUCACUCAGAGAUGACUGUCAUUAACAUUUUGGUGUAUUUCUUCGUAGACAUUUUCCUAUGUCUCUGCAUAGUAACAUACUGUCCAGAGUGCUUGUAAUCUGCUAGACGGUUUGAUGAGACCAAGUUUUCAUGGUAUUAGCCACGGCAAUAUUUGUAUUCAUAUUUUAGGGUAUGGCUGAACUGAAAUUUGCUUUUGCUCAACUCAGCCCCUCUUGUGAACAUUAGGCACUUUGCACUUCACCUGCUGAAAACGUGGUAGUCAUAAACACGCUGGUAGCUCAAUCGUCCCACCUAUCUUUACUAUGUUAUUCAUUCCUAGCAGUGGGGCCUGGGUCAAAAGUUCUGCAGGGUUUUAAGGCUUUGGAUCAGUGGUUCGGGAUUGUCCUCUGGGACGGGCUGAGAAGCACACAUGCCUGCCGGUGGUGACAAGCAUUCCUUCCUAGUGCAGAGUCAGGUCUGCACCUGGCACCCCCUACCCAUCCAGGUUGGGUCCCUGGCAUUCAGUUAUGUGGAACAGACCAGAAAAAUUAAAAAAGAACCCCCUCCCGCAUCUUCCCCGAAGGACCACUGGCCUGCUGUCUCUCCCCGCACUCCCCCACUGGAGUUCAUACCCACUGAAUCACGACCCCCUUGUGGCUAAGCCCUGGUGCGCCACCCUGCAAAAUCAAAGGUGGUGUCUAGGCACAGAAAUGGCUCCGUGACCUAUGUCCCCUUUGUUCUAAUCUAGAAUCCAGCCAGGAGUAUGCGUGUCAGAAGCCAGGGGUGAUUGUGUUUUUUCUCCUUCCUCUUUCUUUAGGUCAGGAAGAUUCCUGCAGCUGCUGAGUUAGUACUUUUAAGAAAGUACUGGAUUCCCUCUCACAAUGGGACUUUGAUUUUUUUAAGAAAAAGGUUUCAUAAGUUUUCAAAUAACCUGGAGCAGUUGAGCAAACUUAAUGUGCAGCGUGGUCCCUGCUGGCUGGGUUUGAGGGGCUGGGUCUCUCUGAGUGGAUGCUGGUGAGGUGCAGAGGAAGAAGAAAAGGUGCCUGAGGGCCUGUGUGGAAGGCCUGUCACACAGCACAUCCUGGGAAAUCUGUCCAGGAAGCAGCCAGGCGGGCAUCAGCCAGGCGGGCAUCAGCAUCUUCACUGUGCAGAUGAGAAACUGAGGCCGCAGAGGUGAAGGGACAUGCCCAGGAUCACUAAGGCAAGACGGGGGAAGAGCAGAGAUCUUGGGCAUGAUCUCGGCUCACUGCAACCUCCACCUCCCAGGUUCAAGGGAUUCUCCUGCUUCAGCCU
RNAcentral lists this long non-coding RNA (2476 nucleotides) under Homo sapiens (human). Its description in RNAcentral is "HSALNT0379405". Lineage: Eukaryota; Metazoa; Chordata; Mammalia; Primates; Hominidae. The record is from RNAcentral.